RNAcentral lists this ribosomal RNA (469 nucleotides) under uncultured bacterium. Its description in RNAcentral is "SSU rRNA". It matches the Rfam family "Bacterial small subunit ribosomal RNA", at positions 26 to 518 of the family's 1533-position model. The record is from RNAcentral.
AGAGCGAACGCUGGCGGCAGGCCUAACACAUGCAAGUCGAGCGCCCCGCAAGGGGAGCGGCAGACGGGAGAGUAACACGUGGGAACGUACCCUUCAGUUCGGAACAACCCAGGGAAACUUGGGCUAAUACCGAAUACGUCCGUAAGGAGAAAGAUUUAUCGCUGAAGGAUCGGCCCGCGUCUGAUUAGCUAGUUGGUGAGGUAACGGCUCACCAAGGCUACGAUCAGUAGCUGGUCUGAGAGGAUGAUCAGCCUCACUGGGACUGAGACACGGCCCAGACUCCUACGGGAGGCAGCAGUGGGGAAUCUUGCGCAAUGCGCGAAAGCGUGACGCAGCAACGCCGCGUGGGGGAAGAAGGCCUUCGGGUUGUAAACCCCUUUCAGUUGGGACGAAGCUUUGCCGGUGAAUAGCCGGUUGGAGUGACGGUACCUUCAGAAGAAGCCCCGGCUAACUACGUGCCAGCAGCCGC